Tachyglossus aculeatus (Australian echidna) is the source of this 138-nucleotide small nucleolar RNA. The record is from RefSeq and is a predicted model, not a curated record. Lineage: Eukaryota; Metazoa; Chordata; Mammalia; Monotremata; Tachyglossidae.
CCCUUCUCAGGGUCGCACCUGGAGAGUUUCCAGUACUCUACCAAUCUAGGCUUUGGGCUGGAGAGUCAAGCAGAGGCCUACCCAUUCCAUUCCUAGCUUAGGCAGUGGCUAGCGAGUGGAAGGCAAUCUGCUACAAGU